GACGAACGCUGGCGGCGUGCUUAACACAUGCAAGUCGAACGGAAAGGCCCUGCUUUUGUGGGGUGCUCGAGUGGCGAACGGGUGAGUAACACGUGAGUAACCUGCCCUUGACUUUGGGAUAACUUCAGGAAACUGGGGCUAAUACCGGAUAGGAGCUCCUGCUGCAUGGUGGGGGUUGGAACGUUUCGGCGGUUGGGGAUGGACUCGCGGCUUAUCAGCUUGUUGGUGGGGUAGUGGCUUACCAAGGCUUUGACGGGUAGCCGGCCUGAGAGGGUGACCGGCCACAUUGGGACUGAGAUACGGCCCAGACUCCUACGGGAGGCAGCAGUGGGGAAUAUUGCACAAUGGGCGGAAGCCUGAUGCAGCAACGCCGCGUGCGGGAUGACGGCCUUCGUGUUGUAAACCGCUUUCGCCUGUGACGAAGCGUGAGUGACGGUAAUGGGUAAAGAAGCACCGGCUAACUACGUG
Molecule: ribosomal RNA, 468 nt
Filed under: uncultured bacterium
Lineage: Bacteria
Description: partial 16S ribosomal RNA
Rfam family: Bacterial small subunit ribosomal RNA
Source: RNAcentral